Molecule: ribosomal RNA, 408 nt
Filed under: uncultured bacterium
Lineage: Bacteria
Description: partial 16S ribosomal RNA
Rfam family: Bacterial small subunit ribosomal RNA
Source: RNAcentral
GACGAACGCUGGCGGCGUGCUUAACACAUGCAAGUCGAACGAAGUGGCGCACGGGUGAGUAACGCGUAAUCAACCUGCCCUUCAGAGGGGGGCAACAGUUGGAAACGACUGCUAAUACCUCAUACUGAAGGAGGGGAUUGCGUCUGUUUAGCUAGUGGGAGGGGUAACGGCCCACCAAGGCGAGGAUCAGUAGCCGGUCGGAGAGGAUGAACGGCCACAUUGGGACGGGGAAACGGCCAAGACUCGUACGGGAGGCAGCAGUGGGGAAUAUUCCGCAAUGGGCGAAAGUCUGACGGAGCAACGCCGCGUGAAGGAUGACGGCCUUAGGGUUGUAAAGCUCUGUUAAUCGGGACGCGGUACCGGAAUAGAAAGCCACGGCUAACUACGUGCCAGAGGCCGGGGUAAUUC